AACCCAUGGUGUGGAUACUAAUUGAUAUAUGUUCUGAACCGCUCCCAUGCUUGCUGUAUGAAACUAGAGAUCUGGUUUCUAAGCUU
Molecule: small nucleolar RNA, 86 nt
Filed under: Eutrema salsugineum
Lineage: Eukaryota; Viridiplantae; Streptophyta; Magnoliopsida; Brassicales; Brassicaceae
Description: Plant small nucleolar RNA R71
Rfam family: Plant small nucleolar RNA R71
About the family: R71 is a member of the C/D box family of snoRNAs containing the C (UGAUGA) and D (CUGA) box motifs.
Source: Rfam by way of RNAcentral